Molecule: long non-coding RNA, 478 nt
Organism: Sceloporus undulatus (fence lizard)
Lineage: Eukaryota; Metazoa; Chordata; Lepidosauria; Squamata; Phrynosomatidae
Exons: 3
Source: RefSeq, a predicted model, not a curated record
UGUGGCCAGCAGAUGUAGGGGAAAGAUAAAAGUAAUACUUUGUGAUAUUCUGUCCUGUGUGUGUGUGUGUGUGUGUGUGUGUGUGUAUGGAUAGGUAAUAGAUAAAAUAAUAUUAGUGAAAUUGUUGUAUAGAAAAAACAAAGAAGCAAGUGAAGAAUAAAGAAGAAGACAAUAAGAAGGAAAGAUACAUCAGUGCACCGGAAAGACAAAAAGAAGAAAUAAAAGAAUAAGGGAACUAUACAGGAAGGAAGAAAUUGAACUAGAAUGAGACAAUGUAUUAGAUUCAAAAAUAUUCUGAUGAAAGGAGAAGCACGUACAUGGAUCAGAUCAAUGGCAGAUCAGAUACAGUCCUAAGAACAGUGAGGAGGAGCAAUGCACAGUACAGAGCUCUGUCUUUCUCCUCACCAGCCAGGACUACGGCUUUUUGGAAAAAGAUUAAACACAGGGACAUAUCCAUCUAAUAACAAGAGAGGAAACA